GAUAAUUGGUUUUUGCGGCUGUCUGAUCAGGCAUUGCCGCGAAGCUACCAUCCGCUGGAUUAUGGCUGAACGCCUCUAAGUCAGAAUCCAUGCUAGAACGCGGUGAUUUCUUUGCUCCACACAAUAUAGAUGGAUACGAAUAAGGCGUCCUUGUGGCGUCGCUGAACCAUAGCAGGCUAGCAACGGUGCACUUGGCGGAAAGGCCUUGGGUGCUUGCUGGCGAAUUGCAAUGUCAUUUUGCGUGGGGAUAAAUCAUUUGUAUACGACUUAGAUGUACAACGGGGUAUUGUAAGCAGUAGAGUAGCCUUGUUGUUACGAUCUGCUGA
This 326-nucleotide non-coding RNA is filed under the name Zymoseptoria brevis. Its description in RNAcentral is "Eukaryotic large subunit ribosomal RNA". It matches the Rfam family "Eukaryotic large subunit ribosomal RNA", at positions 3055 to 3374 of the family's 3401-position model. The record is from Rfam by way of RNAcentral. Lineage: Eukaryota; Fungi; Ascomycota; Dothideomycetes; Mycosphaerellales; Mycosphaerellaceae.